UACGAACCGUCCAAACGUUAUUCGGAAUCACUGGGCUUAAAGGGUGCGUAGGCGGCCCGAAAAGUUGGGUGUGAAAGCCCUCGGCUCAACCGAGGAAUUGCGCCCAAAACUGCCGGGCUCGAGGGAGACAGAGGUGAGCGGAACUUAGGGUGGAGCGGUGAAAUGCGUUGAUAUCCUAAGGAACACCAGUAGCGUAAGCGGCUCACUGGGUCUCUUCUGACGCUGAGGCACGAAAGCUAGGGGAGCGAAG
This 250-nucleotide ribosomal RNA is filed under the name uncultured bacterium. RNAcentral's name for it is "partial 16S ribosomal RNA". It matches the Rfam family "Bacterial small subunit ribosomal RNA", at positions 524 to 773 of the family's 1533-position model. The record is from RNAcentral.